This 301-nucleotide ribosomal RNA is filed under the name uncultured bacterium. Its description in RNAcentral is "partial 16S ribosomal RNA". It matches the Rfam family "Bacterial small subunit ribosomal RNA", at positions 509 to 807 of the family's 1533-position model. The record is from RNAcentral.
CAGCCGCCACGGUAAUACGAAGGGGGCUAGCGUUGCUCGGAAUGACUGGGCGUAAAGGGCGCGUAGGCGGCGAUCAAAGUCAGGCGUGAAAUUCCUGGGCUCAACCUGGGGGCUGCGUUUGAUACUUGGUUGCUAGAGUGAGGAAGAGGGUCGUGGAAUUCCCAGUGUAGAGGUGAAAUUCGUAGAUAUUGGGAAGAACACCGGUGGCGAAGGCGGCGACCUGGUCCUUGACUGACGCUGAGGCGCGAAAGCGUGGGGAGCAAACAGGAUUAGAUACCCCCGUAGUCCCUGUCUCUUAUAC